GCUUAACCGAAGAAGUGCAUCGGAAACUGGGUGACUUGAGUGCAGAAGAGGACAGUGGAACUCCAUGUGUAGCGGUGGAAUGCGUAGAUAUAUGGAAGAACACCAGUGGCGAAGGCGGCUGUCUGGUCUGCAACUGACGCUGAGGCUCGAAAGCAUGGGUAGCGAACAGGAUUAGAUACCCUGGUAGUCCAUGCCGUAAACGAUGAGUGCUAGGUGUUGGAGGGUUUCCGCCCUUCAGUGCCGGAGCUAACGCAUUAAGCACUCCGCCUGGGGAGUACGACCGCAAGGUUGAAACUCAAAGGAAUUGACGGGGGCCCGCACAAGCGGUGGAGCAUGUGGUUUAAUUCGAAGCUACGCGAAGAACCUUACCAGGUCUUGACAUCUUGCGCUAACCUAAGAGAUUAGGCGUUCCCUUCGGGGACGCAAUGACAGGUGGUGCAUGGUCGUCGUCAGCUCGUGUCGUAAGAUGUUGGGUUAAGUCCCGCAACGAGCGCAACCCUUGUUACUAGUUGCCAGCAUUAAGUUGGGCACUCUAGUGAGACUGCCGGUGACAAACCGGAGGAAGGUGGGGACGACGUCAGAUCAUCAUGCCCCUUAUGACCUGGGCUACACACGUGCUACAAUGGACGGUACAACG
This 637-nucleotide ribosomal RNA is filed under the name uncultured bacterium. RNAcentral's name for it is "bacterial SSU rRNA". It matches the Rfam family "Bacterial small subunit ribosomal RNA", at positions 607 to 1244 of the family's 1533-position model. The record is from RNAcentral.